AUUGAACGCUGGCGGCAUGCCUUACACAUGCAAGUCGAACGGCAGCGGACCUUCGGGUGCCGGCGAGUGGCGAACGGGUGAGUAAUAUAUCGGGAACGUACCUUUCAGUGGGGGAUAACGUAGCGAAAGUUACGCUAAUACCGCAUAUUCUGUGAGCAGGAAAGCAGGGGAUCGCAAGACCUUGCGCUGAUUGAGCGGCCGAUAUCAGAUUAGCUAGUUGGUGAGGUAAAGGCUCACCAAGGCGACGAUCUGUAGCGGGUCUGAGAGGAUGAUCCGCCACACUGGAACUGAGACACGGUCCAGACUCCUACGGGAGGCAGCAGUGGGGAAUUUUGGACAAUGGGCGCAAGCCUGAUCCAGCCAUGCCGCGUGAGUGAAGAAGGGCC
RNAcentral lists this ribosomal RNA (386 nucleotides) under uncultured bacterium. RNAcentral's name for it is "bacterial SSU rRNA". It matches the Rfam family "Bacterial small subunit ribosomal RNA", at positions 30 to 417 of the family's 1533-position model. The record is from RNAcentral.